Molecule: ribosomal RNA, 253 nt
Filed under: uncultured bacterium
Lineage: Bacteria
Description: partial 16S ribosomal RNA
Rfam family: Bacterial small subunit ribosomal RNA
Source: RNAcentral
UACAGAGGUCCCGAGCGUUGUUCGGAUUCACUGGGCGUAAAGGGUGCGUAGGCGGUUCUGAAAGUCUGAUGUGAAAUCUCCGGGCCCAACCCGGAAAUGGCAUUAGAAACUGCAGGGCUAGAGGCUUGGAGGGGGAACUGGAAUGCUCGGUGUAGCAGUGAAAUGCGUAGAGAUCGAGCGGAACACCAGUGGCGAAGGCGAGUUCCUGGACAAGACCUGACGCUGAGGCACGAAAGCGUGGGGAGCAAACAGG